Molecule: long non-coding RNA, 137 nt
Organism: Rana temporaria (common frog)
Lineage: Eukaryota; Metazoa; Chordata; Amphibia; Anura; Ranidae
Exons: 3
Source: RefSeq, a predicted model, not a curated record
UUUCAUUACUGCCUGACUUUUUUACUCCUGCCAUCCAUAAGGACAGUCCAGCCUUGCUCUCGAUGGUGUGACUCGGUGUCCGAUCCCGGUCUGUUUUUCGAUAUGUGUCUUGAACCUAUGUCUGCGUAAAAAUAUUG